Molecule: long non-coding RNA, 3889 nt
Organism: Symphalangus syndactylus (siamang)
Lineage: Eukaryota; Metazoa; Chordata; Mammalia; Primates; Hylobatidae
Source: RefSeq, a predicted model, not a curated record
UCUAAGUGGGACGGGUAUACCCACGGCUGGAGCAGGGCCAGCAGCCCUGGGGCCUGUGGAGGGUAGGGAAGCUUCACACUGCCCAUCGAGCAGCCUUAAGUGAAUCCCCAGGAAGCCCCUUCACCCCAUGGGUGAUUCAGAACCAACUUUCCUUUGGAGAACAGCUCUUUAGACGUUAAGGGUUUUUUCCCAACGCCAUGAAGUGCCACAGAGCAGCAGGACGUGGGGGAAGGGGGUUUCCAGCAGCUGGCUGGCCGGCAAUCGGUCUUCCCCUAGAGGUCACCCGCAGGCAGGACACUACCACCUGCCUUUGCUGGCCCCGCCCUCCGGCUAGAGUCAGGACGCUUGGGCCUGUUGGCAUAUCCACUGGACCCUGCAAGGCUUCGCUUCACGGCUACCGAGUGGAACUCUCCCGAGGCCCUGGGGAAAACACUGACAGCAGCCGGUCUUUGCAGGUCACUUCCAACCGCAGAGCAGGUGAUAUACAGACACGCUCUGGGGGCACCAGAGAUGUGGCCCCAGCCUCUCAACCAGCCCCAGGCGACCCCUGGGUUUGAACCUGGGCUGGGAAUGCAAGGAGGGAGGAGCUGUCACCCAGCGGGCCUCAGACAUAUAAAUGCCCACGAGGCCUUAGAUCCGGGUGAGGCGGGGGCAUGGGAGGGCAGCUCUGCCCUGGGCAGUGGCCUCCUCCUUCUGUUGGCAUAGCCCCAACCCUUGGCACGCGGUGGCGGAAGGGGGUUCCUUGUUCAUUCUUUCUCGACUCAACUUGGUUUUCCUCUCAAGACCCAGAAGUUCCCGGCCGUUUCUGGGUAUGGUUUAAGCCGGAUGGUCAGAUUUUGAGAACCUGUGAUCCUGUUUCCAGGGAUUUCAGGGUUUCACGCUGGUGGACAUUGGUAUUUCUGAGUCACGUCCACCCCCGCACUUCACCUGACUCUGUCCUCGGUGGGGAGCCUUCCUGCUUCCCUUGGCCCAGCCUGGCAACAAUGUGGCUGCUCACUAUGCUUGUCUUGCGAGGUAGGGCUUGGCUGUCCCACUCCACAGAUGCAGAGCCUGAGGCUUGGAUGGGCAGCCACCUGCCCAACAGGGAAAAGAUGCAGAAUGUGGAUCACGCUCCCUGUACCCGGCAAGGGUAGGGCAGGGACACUUCCUGAUGGUGCCAACUGCCCCUUAGCAGUUAUUCCCGGGUUGUAUGAGCCCCGACAACCUCUUAGGAACCUGGGGAUGGGUGGGAACCUGGCGCGGGGAGGAGGGAGAGGGAGGGGCUCCAGCCACCACACCCCUGCCAAGCAGCUGCGCCGGGAUGAGGGGUCAUUGGCUAGGAACCUUCCCAUGCCAGGCCACGGCCUCCUGCCACAGCCCCCAGGAGCAGCACGCUACAUUCUUGGUAACUUUUUUUCUCUUUUAUUGCCAAGUUUAAAUUUACAAGGAAGUUCCAGUUUUCAUUUCCACCCUCGUGUUCAGUACCCACGAAGCAUGAGUCACGCUAGUGAAAGCAGGUACUUCCCUAGAGUGGUCCCGAGGCUCAGAGGCAUCGAGGUUUUCUAACCCUCGGUUCUCACUGGGACAUAAAUUAUUUACAUAUUUUUAGCUCAAGGAAACAUAAGGAACUCGUACAGUGUAUGCCCAAUGUCAAGAUGACUAAAUUAAAUGCUUCAGAUUUAUUUAUUGCAUCUAGACAAGAAGAUCAAAAUCAGUUCACCCCAUGCCUUUUUUAAAAACAGUGCAUCUCAGAGACGUUAGAGGAACCUAGCGCAUGUCUGGCAGGGCUGCGCUUCUUCACCUGCCCCUUGAGUUGCUUGUGAACGCAAGUGUCUGGGUAGUGGGAGGCUGCCAAGGCUCCGGGAGAGGGACCGGGCUGGGACGGUGGCAGAGGAGGGGCUGCUCACGGAGGCCCCUCUUCCCGAUCCCACGCGAUGGUGAAGGCUGGCCCUUCCUGCCUGGGGGAGCACCUCAGCUGGCCCCAUCUGACCUGCUGGGGCAGCUACCUCGCAUGUCCACAAAGGGACGAGCACACCUCCACAACAACAUUCAAAGCCAAGGUUUGGGAGUUCCUGCGGCCAGCCCUGCUCCCUGACUUGGCAAACCCAGCCGGAGGUGCACAGGGGAAGGGUGGACCAGGGCCUGGGCCAUAACUCUAAGUGCUCUCUGCAGGGACUCGGGGGGCGGGCUGGAUGGGUCUGUGGGGGCUGACCUCAGACCUCUGAGGCUAUGACCUGAGUGUCAGAAGCCACAGCCCCCGCUGUGGGCCUUCCCACACUCUUGGCUCUUCCUCUGGAUGACAGGGACCCAGCGUGUCCUGUCUGGACUGGCCUGUCUGGGGGCGCCCCAGCUAUGAGGUUUGUGGGGAGCUCCUGAAGACACAGCUGUGCCCACUGCCGCUGAGACCUGGGUGAGGUGGGGUCCUUUGAAGCCAAAAUGGCUGGUGGCCUCCAAUGGGCUCCCAGACCUCCUGACAUAAGCAAAGCUUCUGGGAGCCCUGCUUAUAGGAAAUCCUCACCCCACACACCUGGAGGUGUCCCCCAGAGGCAAGUCGCCAGCCCCAGCUGAAAGAGGCCCCUGAGAGUGACCCUGCAAGCCCGCACAGGGACUGCCCUGUUCUUGGCCAGGGAUGCAGGGUAGAAGCCCUGCCCUGAGCAGUGUCUUUUAUCCUCCGCUGGUCCUCCCGGGCACCUUUUAUCCUCUGUUGGUUCUCCCGGGCAUGCUGUCCAGCCCUGGCCAAGACCAUCCUCCUUCAGUGCUCAGUGGUCACAAGGCCAGUUGGAGCCCAGAGACUUCUGACAGCAGGCUGGUGGCCCACCCGUGUGGCAUGGAGUGAGCUGCAGGCUAUUCCUCCCGGUCACGCCUUGGGGCGGGGCAGCCACUUGCCUUCUCUAGUUUCUGCUGCCCCACAGACAGAGUCAUUUCAAAACCAGAAGUGCACGUCUCAGUGGCUAGCCAGCUCCGGCCAGGGCCAGCUUGAUCCUCUCCACCCCUCUUGCUCUUAAAAAAUUAAGCAACACACAGGCUGCCUGCUGGGUGUCGCGUGUCCCGUCUCCUGAUGCUGUGGUCCUUCUCCCCAUGAUGGUCUUCCCCCCACCCUACCCUGCCUUCCUUCUCUUCCAGGGAUUCUGCAGAUGGCCACGGUGAUAGCGGUUUGUCCUUCCUUGGGGUUUCUGCCCAUGUGGCCCCCUUUCUGAGCUGUGCCUUUUCUGUAUUGAAGCAAAGGUCCUUGUACCUGCAGCCAUGAAGGCUGGGUGGGCACAGCUACCCGGAGGGCUUCUGAUGACCCAUGAAGGCUGGGUGGGCAGAGCUACCUGGAGGGCUUCUGAGGACUGAGGCCUGUCCCCAUGGGCGCCACUCCCCCUCCUUGGCAGGACUGUGUUUCCUUCAUGAGGUUGAAAACUGCCCUCUGCAGGCCUUGCCGGGACAGCUGGCUUGGCCGAGGAGACAAUGUUCCUCUAAAAUGCAGGUGGCAAAAGCACAGCUCCCGAGAUGACCCAUGAUGACCUAACACCCCUGGUGGGCACAUCUGCCGGCAGGUCUGGAGGAAAGUUGUGGAAGGUCUUACCAGUGACCAGAGAGGGUCGGGAGUCUUCACGGUCCCAAGUGGUUCCUUCUUAGAGAUGGCAACACUGAAGAAGGUGCUGGAAGCUGUCUCUGUUUGGUUUUGGUGAAGACAAGUGAGGAAGCGUCCUGAGUGGGGAGCUGGCUACAUUCUUCCUUUUCCUGGAGAAAUCUUUCCAUGAUGGGAGGCCUCUCGGCUGCUAUGGCAGAAAACUGUUCAGCCUUCUCAGCUCUGUGUGUACCUGAGAAUAUACGUAUCUCCCUUGUUUUUGUUUAAAAAAUAAUCUAAACUUUCCAGGAAGGUACUUCAUUAUUCCACAGGCUUGCAGAGUUAGUGAGUAACAAA